Molecule: ribosomal RNA, 253 nt
Filed under: uncultured bacterium
Lineage: Bacteria
Description: partial 16S ribosomal RNA
Rfam family: Bacterial small subunit ribosomal RNA
Source: RNAcentral
UACGUAGGGUGCGAGCGUUGUCCGGAUUUAUUGGGCGUAAAGAGCUCGUAGGCGGUUUGUCGCGUCGGCCGUGAAAUCUCCACGCUUAACGUGGAGCGUGCGGUCGAUACGGGCAGACUUGAGUUCGGUAGGGGAGACUGGAAUUCCUGGUGUAGCGGUGAAAUGCGUAGAUAUCAGGAGGAACACCGGUGGCGAAGGCGGUUCUCUGGGCAUUACCUGACGCUGAGGAGCGAAAGUGUGGGGAGCGAACAGG